Molecule: ribosomal RNA, 252 nt
Filed under: uncultured bacterium
Lineage: Bacteria
Description: partial 16S ribosomal RNA
Rfam family: Bacterial small subunit ribosomal RNA
Source: RNAcentral
UACGUAAGGCCCGAGCGUUGUCCGGAUUCAUUGGGCGUAAAGGGUACGUAGGCGGAUAAACAAGUUUGAAGUGAAAUCCUAUAGCUUAACUAUAGUAAGCUUUUAAAACUGUUCAUCUUGAGGUAUGAAAGGGAGAGUGGAAUUCCUAGUGUAGCGGUGAAAUGCGCAGAUAUUAGGAGGAAUACCGGUGGCGAAGGCGGCUUUCUGGUCUUAAACUGACGCUGAGGCUCGAAAGCGUGGGUAGCAAACAGG